RNAcentral lists this ribosomal RNA (503 nucleotides) under uncultured bacterium. RNAcentral describes it as "bacterial SSU rRNA". It matches the Rfam family "Bacterial small subunit ribosomal RNA", at positions 1005 to 1509 of the family's 1533-position model. The record is from RNAcentral.
GAUGGAUUGGUGCCUUCGGGAACUCUGAGACAGGUGCUGCAUGGCUGUCGUCAGCUCGUGUUGUGAAAUGUUGGGUUAAGUCCCGCAACGAGCGCAACCCUUAUCCUUUGUUGCCAGCGGUUAGGCCGGGAACUCAAAGGAGACUGCCAGUGAUAAACUGGAGGAAGGUGGGGAUGACGUCAAGUCAUCAUGGCCCUUACGAGUAGGGCUACACACGUGCUACAAUGGCGCAUACAAGAGAAGCGACCUCGCGAGAGCAAGCGGACCUCAUAAAGUGCGUCGUAGUCCGGAUUGGAGUCUGCAACUCGACUCCAUGAAGUCGGAAUCGCUAGUAAUCGUGGAUCAGAAUGCCACGGUGAAUACGUUCCCGGGCCUUGUACACACCGCCCGUCACACCAUGGGAGUGGGUUGCAAAAGAAGUAGGUAGCUUAACCUUCGGGAGGGCGCUUACCACUUUGUGAUUCAUGACUGGGGUGAAGUCGUAACAAGGUAAGCGUAGAUGA